CGAACGGGUGAGUAACGCGUGAGGAACCUGCCUCAAAGAGGGGGACAACAGUUGGAAACGACUGCUAAUACCGCAUAAGCCCACGGCUCGGCAUCGAGCAGAGGGAAAAGGAGCAAUCCGCUUUGAGAUGGCCUCGCGUCCGAUUAGCUAGUCGGUGAGGUAACGGCCCACCAAGGCGACGAUCGGUAGCCGGACUGGGAGGUUGAACGGCCACAUUGGGACUGAGACACGGCCCAG
This 237-nucleotide ribosomal RNA is filed under the name uncultured bacterium. Its description in RNAcentral is "partial 16S ribosomal RNA". It matches the Rfam family "Bacterial small subunit ribosomal RNA", at positions 99 to 334 of the family's 1533-position model. The record is from RNAcentral.